AAUAUUGGUUAGGAGGAGCCAGGUCAGGCCCAA
This 33-nucleotide small RNA is filed under the name Bombyx mori (domestic silkworm). Its description in RNAcentral is "ovarian small RNA-10766". Lineage: Eukaryota; Metazoa; Arthropoda; Insecta; Lepidoptera; Bombycidae. The record is from RNAcentral.